GCAAGAGAGCGAUCUGGAGCAAAACUCUAAAAAACAAUCUCAGUUCAGAUUGCAGGCUGCAACUCGCCUGCAUGAAGUCGGAAUUGCUAGUAAUCGUAGGUCAGCAUACUACGGUGAAUACGUUCCCGGGCCUUGUACACACCGCCCGUCAAACCAUGAGAGUUGGCAACACCCGAAGUCGGUAGUCUAACCGCAAGGAGGACGCCGCCGAAGGUGGGGUUGAUGAUUAGGGUUAAGUCGUAACAAGGUAUC
This 252-nucleotide ribosomal RNA is filed under the name uncultured bacterium. RNAcentral describes it as "partial 16S ribosomal RNA". It matches the Rfam family "Bacterial small subunit ribosomal RNA", at positions 1249 to 1500 of the family's 1533-position model. The record is from RNAcentral.